UACGUAGGUGGCAAGCGUUACUCGGAAUCACUAGGCGUAAAGCGCAGGUAGGUGGCUAGAUAAGUUUCUUGUGAAAGCUCCCGGCUUAACUGGGAGAGGCCAAGGAAUACUGUUUGGCUUGAGUAUGGUAGGGGUAACUGGAAUUCCCGGUGUAGCGGUGAAAUGCGUAGAUAUCGGGAGGAAUACCUAUGGCGAAGGCAGGUUACUGGGCCAUUACUGACGCUGAGCUGCGAAAGCUAGGGGAGCAAACAGG
This 253-nucleotide ribosomal RNA is filed under the name uncultured bacterium. RNAcentral's name for it is "partial 16S ribosomal RNA". It matches the Rfam family "Bacterial small subunit ribosomal RNA", at positions 524 to 776 of the family's 1533-position model. The record is from RNAcentral.